UACGGAGGGUGCAAGCGUUAUCCGGAUUCACUGGGUUUAAAGGGUGCGUAGGUGGGAUGGUAAGUCCGUGGUGAAAUCUCCAAGCUUAACUUGGAAACUGCCGUGGAUACUAUCAUUCUUGAAUCUCGUGGAGGUAAGCGGAAUAUGUCAUGUAGCGGUGAAAUGCUUAGAUAUGACAUAGAACACCGACAGCGAAGGCAGCUUGCUACACGAGUAUUGACACUGAGGCACGAAAGCGUGGGGAUAAAACAGG
RNAcentral lists this ribosomal RNA (253 nucleotides) under uncultured bacterium. Its description in RNAcentral is "partial 16S ribosomal RNA". It matches the Rfam family "Bacterial small subunit ribosomal RNA", at positions 524 to 776 of the family's 1533-position model. The record is from RNAcentral.